This 396-nucleotide ribosomal RNA is filed under the name uncultured bacterium. RNAcentral's name for it is "bacterial SSU rRNA". It matches the Rfam family "Bacterial small subunit ribosomal RNA", at positions 362 to 772 of the family's 1533-position model. The record is from RNAcentral.
UUUUCGACAAUGGGGGGAACCCUGAUCGAGCCAUCCCGCGUGAAGGAAGAAGGUCUUCGGAUUGUAAACUUCUUUUAUGAGGGACGAAGGACGUGACGGUACCUCAUGAAUAAGCCACGGCUAACUACGUGCCAGCAGCCGCGGUAAUACGUAGGUGGCAAGCGUUAUCCGGAUUUACUGGGUGUAAAGGGCGCGUAGGCGGGGAUGCAAGUCAGAUGUGAAAUCUAUGGGCUCAACCCAUAAACUGCAUUUGAAACUGUAUCUCUUGAGUGCUGGAGAGGUAGAUGGAAUUCCUUGUGUAGCGGUGAAAUGCGUAGAUAUAAGGAAGAACACCAGUGGCGAAGGCGAUCUACUGGACAGUAACUGACGCUGAGGCGCGAGAGCGUGGGGAGCAAA